RNAcentral lists this non-coding RNA (124 nucleotides) under Hydrogenovibrio crunogenus. RNAcentral's name for it is "Thiomicrospira crunogena TPP sequence". It matches the Rfam family "TPP riboswitch aptamer (THI element)". Rfam says of the family: Vitamin B(1) in its active form thiamin pyrophosphate (TPP) is an essential coenzyme that is synthesised by coupling of pyrimidine and thiazole moieties in bacteria. Lineage: Bacteria; Pseudomonadati; Pseudomonadota; Gammaproteobacteria; Thiotrichales; Piscirickettsiaceae. The record is from RNAcentral.
UUCCAUCUCUCGGGGUGCACGCCAAAGUGCUGAGACGACUAAGUGGAAAUUCAAUUUCCCGGCUGUCGGGCCCGUUGAACUUGAUCUGGUUAAAGCCAGCGUAGGGAAGAGAAGAUUCUAAGGA